UACAGGGGGUGCAAACGUUGCUCGGAAUCAUUGGGCGUAAAGCGCACGUAGGCGGUUCGUUAUGUCGGAUGUGAAAGCCCUUGGCUUAACCGAGGAAGUGCAUCCGAAACUGGCGAGCUAGAGUACUAAAGAGGAUCGCGGAAUUCCCGGUGUAGAGGUGAAAUUCGUAGAUAUCGGGAGGAACACCGGUUGCGAAGGCGGCGAUCUGGGUAGAUACUGACGCUGAGGUGCGAAAGCGUGGGGAGCAAACAGG
RNAcentral lists this ribosomal RNA (253 nucleotides) under uncultured bacterium. RNAcentral describes it as "partial 16S ribosomal RNA". It matches the Rfam family "Bacterial small subunit ribosomal RNA", at positions 524 to 776 of the family's 1533-position model. The record is from RNAcentral.